This 1051-nucleotide long non-coding RNA is filed under the name Malus domestica (apple). RNAcentral's name for it is "long non-coding RNA (MDOM_LNC013560)". The record is from RNAcentral. Lineage: Eukaryota; Viridiplantae; Streptophyta; Magnoliopsida; Rosales; Rosaceae.
AUAAUCCCCAUUCAGAGUUCUACACUAAAAGUUUGAAAGAGCAUCUUGGGCAAUAUUUCGAGCAGCUUAAUGUGCCACAAGAGCUUUCGGUGGAGGACAAGCUCGCUAAAUUGUUGGAAUUAACUGACUUAUACAUUGAAAUAACAAAUGAAGGAUUUCAAAUUCAAGCAGUAAACCGUGGGAAAAGCUAUGAUGAUCAAGAGGUUGGUGCAGGAACUGAGGAGCCAUCUGUCUGUUAUUCACGUCCAAAGGAGGAAACAGCCCAUGAUGACCUUGAAAAUUCCAUAGAAUCUGCUCCUUCAAAAGUCUGUGUGCCACUCAUGCACUAUCCCGAGACUCCAAGGCGACCCGCUAAGCAGCAAGAAUGCAUGAAUACUCUGACAAAUCUAAAUAUAGGACAGCUGCUUACUGAUUAGAAAAUUUUAGCGGCGGUAACGGACAGUGCACCUGCACAGCCCAUCAAAUUCAAAGAAAUGCCAGAUGAGUCCUGCAAACAGGCAAAGAUCCACAAGGAAACAAAGAAAAAGCUUAAUGGCAACCUAAUUCUUCGUCAAGAAAUUCGGCCAAUGCAGAAAUUGUGGGUGUCAAAUACAAGGUUUAAGUCAGUUCGACGAAGACGUAAACAUUGCUGGAAGGGAUCCUAUUUUAUUACAACAUUUCAUUCAUAUAGAAGGGCUAAUAUGAAGGAUUCAACCACUUCCCUGAAACACAUAAUUGACAAACAUCAUCUCAUUCCGUACCUACUGUUGUUGUAUGAUGCUAUCAAGGAGUGGUUGAUUAUAAGAGAACAAGUGACGUGAUUAUCAAUUCAUUCCUCUACGUCUAGCUAUAGACAUUAACUACAGCGCUUAUUGGGAGGCAACCCAAUUUUUCUAAACUCUUUUCUUUUUAUUUUCGUUCAUUUUAUUUUCUUCCUUCUAGUCUUUAUCACAAAAAAAAAACAAAAACAAAACAAAAAAAUCAGAAAAUUGAAAAACACAAAAACAGCAAUUGUUUUUCGUUAAUCAGUAUUUUAUUUUGGGAUUUACUCGAAUUAGAUUUUUAAUCUGUG